Molecule: ribosomal RNA, 3054 nt
Filed under: Triticum aestivum (bread wheat)
Lineage: Eukaryota; Viridiplantae; Streptophyta; Magnoliopsida; Poales; Poaceae
Description: partial small subunit ribosomal RNA
Source: RNAcentral
GUGGUUUAUUAAAUUAUGGUCUUCCUGACUUCGUCUUUAUGGGUGUGCGAUAGCUUCCGCUCCUCCUCCCCUCAUCUUUGUGGUAAGUUAGAGCGGCCGGCGGCGGCGGCGGCGGCGGUGGGAUUGACACGGCUCGAGAGCGGUCUUAGCGUAUGUACUCGAGGUGCCGACGACGCCGCGGUGGUCGGUCCGCGUGCGCGUCGGCCGACGGCAGACGGAGCAGGGCGUCCAGACUACUGGGGAGGAGGCGGCGGUUGCGGUUGCCUUUACCCUUCUGGAGAGGCUUCGAACGAAGAGGGUUUGUAGAAGGCCCCCUCUCCUGCCACUUCUUCGAUUCCGACAGGUUCCGCGACUGCUAUGGACUCCCGUGCUGCCAGAUGCUGCGCAGGGCCGCCUACCGCCGCUCCGCCCAGCUGCGCCACGACGAGUGGCUACGGGUUCCGGAGGAUAGACCGUAUCAGUGGCUAUUCCGCUUGAUGAAAGUAAUGAAAAGUCACCUUAUACGACACACGAAGGUAUCAUCGACACCUUUCUAUACUACUAAACUUCGAUGCUCCUUAGAUCCCAUCAUAGAGAAGGAUGAAGAGAAAACUCUUUUUCACUACAUACCUAACCUAAGAAACCAAACCUGGAAUCGUUCACCGGAAAAGACAAUUUUGCUUUCAAGAGACCUCCAAACGAUGGGCUUCAAACGAACCAACCAAAGGGGAUCACACUCGGUCAAAAACACUGGUAACUUAUACAUGUUUAUAACGAUACAAGACACGAAUCUACAACUAAGCUACCCCCUUUUCCACUUAAUACGACUUCUUUUAUACGGUGGAAGGUUGAUGAUCUGUCGGGUUUCAAGAAAAAAGAAGCAAAUCCCGAAAACUAGUUCAGUAAAAAACUGUUAACGAUCAGCGAGCAACCUUCAAACCAAAUGACGACAUCCAUAAAAAACGGGAAAGAAUAGGGAGAGAGUAAUACGACAUUUUACCUGACUACACGGACGUGAACAAAUCGUCACCAAAGAACGAUUUUCUUUGCUUAAUCCAUUUCCGUUCUGUUUCUAAAAGACACAAAUAAAAACAACCGAUCAACACGAAACAUGACAUGAAAAAACAUUUUAAUUCGUGUGGUAUCAUUCAACACUUAUGAAUUAUUCAUCAUCAUAAUGUUCACCGGGUACCAGAUGAAAAUGACGAAAGUACGACUUCAGUUAAAAAAAGGAACCCUAAGUUUAAACGACAUCCUAUAUAGGUGUGCUCACUAACGUCUCCCCGACGCCCACCUCGUUUGGCGGUACAGGUUCUAGUACUGUGCCUUAGGAUGAAUACAGUGACGACUGAGUGAACGUUAACUCCGUAACGUUUUCUACCAAGUUCCAUUUAAAUCUGUGGAGGGUCAACACCUUUUACCACUCCAAUACCGAUACGAUCUGUAACGUUUUACGGAAAUACUACGAUAUCGUUCUAACCUUUUCCGUCGACUUGUUCCCUCACGCUAUCGUCGACGUCAUCUCCCCCAACUCGCAGUUGACCCUCCGUUGAAAUGUCGAGGAAUACGAAAAUAUCUUUGAGAUUCUCUCGCCUACAAGUUUGGAAGAGACAGUUGGUAACAGUGCCUCCUGUGUUUCCAUCGUUAACAAAGGGGAAGUCUAGGACACAUACACCGCUGUGUCUUUUACGCACUCAAAGCUCAAUUAAGUCACUAACAGUGAUGUCCCUUGUGUCACGUCCCCUAGAAAUGGAGUUUUCUACAAGAAUACGCACAACACAGUGUCUUAGAAAGGGGUCUUAACUGGAAUCAUCUUUUCCACUACUGACGUUUGGGACUAACACGAUACAAUCUGUGCUGUUAAGAACUACGUGAUGUAUAUUACGUACUACCGUUUAAGAACGUGUAAGGACAAGAACUGUCUCUCCCCGUUUAACGACGAACGGACCUACAGGACGUUGAAUGGGUACGUCGGUAAGUUAACCAACUUCCCCCGUUACCCUGACGAUUACUGUACCGUUUGAGUCAUUACGUCUCCAAGACCCUGAGACGCGAACGAAAUCUUGGAGGUCUACUGCUUGAACUAUCGGCAUCGCUUCGUAGGAAUGAAUACCGCAGUCUUCGGCCCCUACCCGCCUCAUCAUAUAUAGGGGGAUAGUAACCAUUAAGUAAAGGGAAAUUCGAAGUUCUGGCCUUCCCUGCACACGUAUCUAAGUGAACGCCGAGUCUCUCGAAUUUGCUCGAACACAGGAGACAUUCCGUUUCUAACUCAUAAUAACUACUUUUCCUGUAGUAAGUUUAGAACAUGCUUCUACUACUCCCGCUGGCCCAUGACGACUGUUGCCUAUGACUAGAACGACCGCGGCACGAGGUACGGUUUAGUAGACCAAACUUCCAAGAGUUCAACGUAUAGCACCUGCUCAAAUUAGGUUUGUGUCUCCACCAUUUUGGUAAUGUCCUAGAUCGUGGAGCGUCGUCCUUACCACCCAGAAGACAAUUUUAACCCGAGUACCGACCACGUCAACGAGAGUCACCGCGCCGUCAGUACCACAUGAACUUUGCUAGGUCCCACACUAAUGGUUACUUAGUUAUGAAAGGAUUUGGGCGUAGAGUUGUCGACUGUAGGUAGGUGAAAUCUUAGAUAACAAUAGAACCAUAGUAAUGUAUGAUUCUUUUCUUUCUUACUCCGUGUACUCCAGUGUACAAAGGUCAGACAGUCCAUUAACUUUCCAGCUUGUAGUCCGCCAUCCUCGAAAGAUUAUAAACAGGGAGGUGUAAAACGUGUUUGUAGUCACUAAAGUACCGAUGUUACUUUGCACAUUUGUAUUCGCAAAUACGAUCAAGUAUGAAAACGUGAAAAAAGAUCUAUCUGUCUCCUACAUUUUACUAAAACCUCGUAUUGUAAUUCACCUAAUAAGAGACGGUCACAGGAUGUUUUUAGUUUACAUUUGUUAACCCAGUACGUGUGGUAGUUUGUAUGAUGGGUCCGACUGUUUAUUACGGGUAAUAAUAAACUAGGACACGGGAGAGUUCUAGAAUAGACGGGUCAUCUCAUCCACCCGGGAUCAAUAUAGG